CCUACGGGGGGCAGCAGUGGGGGAUAUUGCACAAUGGGGGAAACCCUGAUGCAGCGACGCCGCGUGGGUGAAGAAGCGCCUCGGCGCGUAAAGCCCUGUCAGCAGGGAAGAAAAUGACGGUACCUGAAGAAGAAGCCCCGGCUAACUACGUGCCAGCAGCCGCGGGAUUACGUAGGGGGCAAGCGUUAUCCGGAUGUACUGGGUGUAAAGGGGGCGCAGACGGGGAUGCAAGCCAGGAGUGAAAGCCCGGGGCCCAACCCCGGGACUGCGCUUGGAACUGCGUGGCUAGAGUGCAGGAGAGGCAGGCGGAAUUCCUGGUGUAGCGGUGAAAUGCGUAGAUAUAAGGAGGAACACCAGUGGCGAAGGCGGCCUGCUGGACUGCAACUGACGUUGAGGCCCGAAAGCGUGGGGAGCAAACAGGAUUAGAUACCCUGGUAGUC
RNAcentral lists this ribosomal RNA (440 nucleotides) under uncultured bacterium. Its description in RNAcentral is "partial 16S ribosomal RNA". It matches the Rfam family "Bacterial small subunit ribosomal RNA", at positions 338 to 795 of the family's 1533-position model. The record is from RNAcentral.